GCAGGUAAUCUUAAACAAAAGCAACACUUAUUGAUUUCUACCUCAGCAACACCUUCUAAAGCACCUUCCUCCACAAAAUUUACCUCCUCUUUUCCCAUGCCGCUUAAAAUGGGUAUGCUCAAGUCACUGCAGUAACUUGAACUAUCAUCUUCCUUUCCUUUACGCCAGUGGGUGUCUGAGGAGUAAACAACAACCACAUAGAAAAUAUACAUGGACAAAAAUCCCAUUGCACCCCAAAUAUUGAUUUCUCCGUGAACCAAUAUGAAACUUAAGGAUGCAAGAACCAAAAGCAAGAAGCAAACAUCUCUAACAAAGGCACCUUUGUUAACUAUAAUCUUUUUUUGCUUCAAGAGAAUGCUCAUGAUUCCAACCACAACACAGGUAACAAAGGAAGCACCACCUAGCACUGUAUUGAAGCCAAUGUCACCUGUCCCACUACCCAUAAAGGAUACCAGACUGGAAAAUACAUCUGGGGCACCGUUGCCAAGAGAAAGGAGAGUAACCCCAGCAAUUGUAGGGGAUAGUUUCAAUAGAGUGGAUAAAUUUUCAAGGGAAGAACAAAAGUAUUCAGAGGCUGUGUUCCCUAACAAAUAGAACAACACUAGAAGCCAGAGAAAUAGAAGACAAUGGCCCAAAAGAGGAAUUCUUCCAAAAUUGCAAUAGAAAAGGUGGAGAUAGUCAAUAUAACCUUCAGAGACACAAGGAUUAAUAUGUGAUUUAAGGUAAUGGCACUUGGCUCGGUAGUCUUCUAGACUUUCCAACCCUUUGCAGUCCUGUUGACUAUCGUCAUUAGACGGUUGUGCACUGUUAGGAACAAGAAAUCGAGCAGGGUUGAACUGUAAAAUCAAGAAAACGCAUGCCACUAACAGAAAUGAGAUAUUAAAGAAAAUUAUGUAUCUUCUGUUCUCAGAUAUAGAGACCAAGAUACCCAUUAAAGGAACUCAAUCAAAUUCUCUCUGAAACGCAAGAACAUGAAUUGUAAAUCAUGAUUCAGGAACUUGGUCAAUGAGUAUCAAGCUAAUAGUUGAUCAAGGGCAACUUUGGACUGAACCACAUCAGAGAGAGACGGAGAAGAAAUAACCCAUUAGGAGAGAAGUCGAUUAAAGCAAAAUUCUUUUUCCUCUUCCAAUACGUGUAUAGUUUAGCAGGCUAAUCAAGAAUAUGAACAGAAUAUAAAGAAAUUGGUGACUCGAUACAGUGUAUGAACUAGAAAAUGUUGACCCGGCUAAGGAAGCUCCCUAGUACACAGGUC
Molecule: unclassified non-coding RNA, 1252 nt
Filed under: Hevea brasiliensis (rubber tree)
Lineage: Eukaryota; Viridiplantae; Streptophyta; Magnoliopsida; Malpighiales; Euphorbiaceae
Source: RNAcentral